Molecule: ribosomal RNA, 497 nt
Filed under: uncultured bacterium
Lineage: Bacteria
Description: partial 16S ribosomal RNA
Rfam family: Bacterial small subunit ribosomal RNA
Source: RNAcentral
GAUGAACGCUGGCGGCGUGCCUAAUACAUGCAAGUCGAGCGAACAGACGAGGAGCUUGCUCCUCUGACGUUAGCGGCGGACGGGUGAGUAACACGUGGAUAACCUACCUAUAAGACUGGGAUAACUUCGGGAAACCGGAGCUAAUACCGGAUAAUAUAUUGAACCGCAUGGUUCAAUAGUGAAAGACGGUUUUGCUGUCACUUAUAGAUGGAUCCGCGCCGCAUUAGCUAGUUGGUAAGGUAACGGCUUACCAAGGCGACGAUGCGUAGCCGACCUGAGAGGGGGACCGGCCACACGAGAACUGAGACGGGGUCCAGCCCCCGCCGGGGGGCAGAAGGGGGAAUUCUCCGGAAAGGGGCGAAACCCUAAGGGAGCACCCCGGCGGGAGUAAGAAAGGUCUUGGGAUGAAAAAACUUUUUUAUUGGGGAAAAAAAAAUGUGAAAGUAACUAUGCCCUUCUUGACGGUCCCUAACCAAAAAGCCAGGGCUAACUAGGUG